This 505-nucleotide ribosomal RNA is filed under the name uncultured bacterium. RNAcentral describes it as "partial 16S ribosomal RNA". It matches the Rfam family "Bacterial small subunit ribosomal RNA", at positions 28 to 507 of the family's 1533-position model. The record is from RNAcentral.
GACGAACGCUGGCGGCGUGCCUAAUACAUGCAAGUAGAACGCACAGUUUAUACCGUAGCUUGCUACACCAUAAACUGUGAGUUGCGAACGGGUGAGUAACGCGUAGGUAACCUGCCUGGUAGCGGGGGAUAACUAUUGGAAACGAUAGCUAAUACCGCAUAAUAUUAAUUAUUGCAUGAUAAUUGAUUGAAAGAUGCAAUUGCAUCACUACCAGAUGGACCUGCGUUGUAUUAGCUAGUAGGUGAGGUAACGGCUCACCUAGGCGACGAUACAUAGCCGACCUGAGAGGGUGAUCGGCCACACUGGGACUGAGACACGGCCCAGACUCCUCCGGGAGGCAGCAGUAGGGAAUCUUCGGCAAUGGACGAAAGUCUGACCGAGCAACGCCGCGUGAGUGAAGAAGGUUUUCGGAUCGUAAAGCUCUGUUGUAAGAGAAGAACGGGUGUGAGAGUGGAAAGUUCACACUGUGACGGUAUCUUACCAGAAAGGGACGGCUAACUACGUG